AUGAAGUAUAGCUAAUAAUUGAACAGGACCUUUGGUAUAAAAGUCAGGAUGUAGCUCUCAGUCCUACAUACUUCGUCUUUUUCGUCUACUACCACCCAUCAAAUUUUUAUUGAAGAAACGCCAAAAUGCCAGGUUGCAACUGCCUAACAUUUUGCAAUACGUCGUCCUGCUUUUGCAAAAACAAUCGACGAUUUUGCAACUCUACUUGCGAAUGUUGCAGUGAUGGCGAUUCGUCCUGCAGGAAUGGAGGGCGCCCGGCUCCUAAAAUGGAAAGGACCACGACUUCUACUCCGAAAGCGAAAGUAGUCAAACCCAGUCCAUCAAAGGGUGCUUGUACCAGAAAAAAAUGAGACUUUAAAUAUGUAGAUUUAUUUUGAGAAUUUUUUGACAUUUAUGUAUGAAUGUAGUUCUAACGUUUGUAUUACUGGCGGUCUUACAUAUGGGAAAUUAAAUAAAUUAAGAUAAGUGUCCUGACGAUAUUACAUAAUAAAAAAGAUGGGAAUACU
This is a long non-coding RNA of Folsomia candida, 506 nucleotides long. RefSeq lists it as uncharacterized. The record is from RefSeq and is a predicted model, not a curated record. The transcript is spliced from 2 exons. Lineage: Eukaryota; Metazoa; Arthropoda; Collembola; Entomobryomorpha; Isotomidae.